UGAAACUUUGACUCAUUUUAGGUGAGGAUUACUUUCUUUCGCAAAUUUUAAUGGAAUUCUUAAAGAAGUACAAGAAAAAUCACAGAUCUAAGGCAACUAUCUUAAAUUCUUAACUAAAUGUAACUUUCUAUUAUGCAUUGGUAAGCAUAACCUCUCAAAAACUUUAAUUGUUUUGUUUCCCUACAAUUGGCACAAUCACACAAAAUGGCGGCCCCCUAUUAGUGGUCAUUUAUUUUUCAUUGAAUUGGCAGUCCAGGUAAAUAAUAUAUAUCUAGAUAUCUAUAACAAUCUAAGGAAUGAUACUCAGUUCACAAAUGAUUGUAGUGCUUUGCAAAAAAUAGCGUUAUUAACAGAGGUUCCCUAUAGUACAAUAUGCCUGUAAAAAAAAGGAUUAAAGACAGAAUAAAAAGGAAAGAUGCAGGACAAUCAAAGGGACUUGACAUGGAUAUUGCCAAAUUGCUAAGGAAAGGUGUGUAUUCUAAAUACAAAAACAAUGAGGUUCUGACCAUAGAGACACCUUAUUGGCAAGGGACAAACAUUUCUCAGUCUCAACCUUGCGGAGAUACCUGAUAAAACUUGGAUUUAAACUUAAGAUGGUUAACAAAAGAGCUGCUGUAAUGGAAUUGUCAGGUGGUGUAUAGAAUAUUUGAGGAAAAUUAAAAAAAUUUGGGAGGAAGAAAGAUCCAUAUAUUAUUUAGCCGAAACAUGAUAUGAUACAUUUAUGAUUGAUGUAUGAUUUCCAUUCUCUGGGAAAAAAGUCCCUUUUUUGCCAUACUUACUGCCCCUGUUGUCUUUCAGUGAUACAAUAAAGACUGCUUCUUCCACCAUUCUCUGGGAAAAACCCUUUUUUGCUAUGCUUACUACCCCUGUUGUCCUUCAGCAACACAAUGAAGACUGCUUCUUCCUCCAUUCUCUGGAAAAAAAUCCCUUUUUUGCCAUACUUACUGCCCCUGUUUGUCCUUCAGCGACACAAUAAAGUAUAUAUAAUGUAAUGCUGAUGUGCGAGAUGAAGUUGGAAUCCAUGGCGGCAACAGAGAAACUGUUUCCUUCCUUAAUGGAAGAAACUGCUAAAAAACAAUGGCAAAAAAACAUAAUUUACAAAAUUUGUAUGAACUUUUUGGGCCAGAUUCAAAAGAGUGGUUAAAUUUAUAAAAGUAUUUAGUAUCCUCACUGUAGUUUUAGGAUCCAGUAUACUUAAAAUGUAGUGU
Anthonomus grandis grandis is the source of this 1208-nucleotide long non-coding RNA. RefSeq lists it as uncharacterized. The record is from RefSeq and is a predicted model, not a curated record. NCBI's taxonomy places the organism in Eukaryota, Metazoa, Arthropoda, Insecta, Coleoptera, Curculionidae. The transcript has 4 exons.